RNAcentral lists this ribosomal RNA (480 nucleotides) under uncultured bacterium. Its description in RNAcentral is "bacterial SSU rRNA". It matches the Rfam family "Bacterial small subunit ribosomal RNA", at positions 19 to 518 of the family's 1533-position model. The record is from RNAcentral.
CUGGCUCAGGACGAACGCUGGCGGCGUGCUUCAUACAUGCAAGUCGAACGAUAAGGUCUCUUCGGAGAUACAUAAGUGGCGGACGGGUGAGUAAAAUGUAGAGAAUCUGCCCUUAAGCGGGGGACAACAGAGGGAAACUUCUGCUAAUACCCCAUAUGAGCGUAGCUGAAAUGCUAUUCUUGAAAACUCCGGUGCUUAAGGAUGAGUCUGCAUCUGAUUAGCUAGUUGGGGGUGUAAUGGACCACCAAGGCGACGAUCAGUAGCUGGUUUGAGAGGAUGAUCAGCCACAAUGGGACUGAGACACGGCCCAUACUCCUACGGGAGGCAGCAGUAGGGAAUUUUGCGCAAUGGGGGAAACCCUGAACCGCAGCAACGCCGCGUGACCGAUGAAGCCCUUCGGGGUGUAAAGGUCUGUCAGUGGGGACGAAACUUGACGGUACCCACAGAGGAAGCAUCGGCUAACUCCGUGCCAGCCGCCGC